AGACACCGCCAGCCACAUAAAUGGCCAUUGCAACUGCCAUUGAAAAUCCAACAUUGAUAGUGAUGACCCCUCCAAAACGUCCUCGACUGAGAAUAGCUUGGGCAACACAGCCACAUCCAAGGACCUGGAAUGAGAGGAAAACUCAACAGAUGCUGAAAUGGAUUUUCUUAGGAGGAUAAUCAAUGCUGUGUGCUGCAGGAAAUAAGAGGACUGAUGAGCAAUGUGGGGACUUCAGUUACCCUCAUCAGAAUCGCCGCUCAGAAGAUUGGAGCCCAGAUUUCCAGCAUUACAUCUUAAUUUAGAAAUGUUUUACUGUAGCCUGAAAAGCAACGAGGAAGCCAGCUUCACCAAGCCUUCUCUUCUCUCAUCGGCACAACCCACCCAACUGCCUUUCUGCACAUAACACCACCUUCUAGUUGACUCAGCACCUAUUAAUGGAUGUGAAGACCAAUGGUAACUCUGAAUAUCACACAAACUUUGUAUUUCAGUUAUCCAGCACUGAAGAAUUCACCACCCCCAAACUUAGUGGCUUAAAAUGAUAGCAUUUAUUUUGCUUAUGAAUCAGCAAUUUGGGCAGGGUUUGGGGUGGCACGUCAUCCCUGCUCUACUUGGUAUCAAAUGGAGUGGCUCGAAAAGUGGAACACUGGAAUUAUCUGAAAGCUUGCAUAUUCAUGCAUCUCAUGGUUGAUGUUGACUGUCCGCUGAUACCUUAGCUGGCGCUUACAAAUGGCUUCUCCGUGGGGCCUGGCUUCUUUACAAUAUGGUUGCUGAGUUCCAAGACUGAGCAUCAUAUAGGAUCCAGAGACUGUGCUCUUAAACCCUGUACCAUGCCAUCUCUCAGUUAUACCAUUUUGCUGGUUCUGAACUUGAUAGCACACAGAAGGCAUGUGAUACAGGCAUUCUCCCUACAACAUCCUAAAUAGGUGUUCACCUAACCCAUAUUGGAUCACCUUUAAGGAUAGGGAGCUCAUUACCACAUUAGGCAGCUUGUUCUGUAUACUUUUUAUUGUUCCUGUGGUUGGGGCAUCCUUCCUUACAUGAAGUUGGAGGCUUCUUUCCUGUAACUUCUGUUCAUUAGCUACAGACCUACUGUUGGGACCAAGGAGAAUAAGCCUUUCACAUACCAGGCAUUGCGAUAAGUGGAGGGGCAUAAUGCCCUCCCUGGGUUCUCUCUUCGUUUGGAUACUUGUCCCUUCAUCUUUGAUCUCUGCGUCUCCUCGGACUCCCAGUGAGUCUCACCUGGGUAAGCUCUACGUUGUCAGUGUCCCUCUUAAAACACAGAGCCCAGAAAUGAACACAGUCUUCCCAUAUUUGUGUAUCACAUUAUGACACGGUAAUUAACCCUGUACCUUCUGACUCAUGGCUUCUAUUGCCAUCUGGUGGGACACUUAGCCAUGGAAUGUUAUUUAACUGUUUACAUAUUUAUGCCUGAUUUUCUCAAUUUUAUAAGAAGAUUUUCAAGAUAAUAUGUUGAACUUUUUUUGUCUCUGUAACAGCUUCUAGUAUAUUGGAUGUAAUUGAAUAGCAGAUCGUAGACAUUAUUUCCAGGGAUGACACUUGUUGGCAAUGUAAAUGAACAUGUUAUUUCUCAUUCUCAGCUUGCUCAUAUAUUAAAGGGGAAUAAUGAUAUGUGCCAGAUUUGAAUCAUAUGGCUUUUUGAUAAAGAAUCAAAGGAGAUAACAUUAAUGAAGGCAAUAUUUAAACAACAAAGAGAAAUAAUAAGGGUAGGAUAUUAUUGUUUUUAGUAUAAACUCAAAAAUUCCAGUUCAGGGUGAAUAGGUUAAGAAAACAGACCCAUGAACUUAACUGCUAACUUGCUGCCUGGCAAUAAAAACAGAGGAGAAAAGACAUCUAUAACAAAUACAUCUAGUUGAAGUACUUGCUGUUUCAUUGCUAGUCAUGGGAUUUAAUUUUGGUGAGAGAGGGAAAGCGGGAAGCUGAUAAGAUCUUCAAGUUGUUUUGACUAUUUGUGAUUACUCUCUGAAGAUGGGCCAUUUCAUAAUUGGCAGGAUUUUAGUGCUUUUUGUAGGAAAGCAAUGCUAGAAAAUAGAAAGAUAAACGCUUUUUUUACUAUCAGGUUCCAUACAUGGAAGAAGGAAAAGACUUUCAUGCCAGAUGCCAGAUGAAGCACCACACACCACCUCCCCACUGCUCAGGAAAUGUCAGCUCAGAGUCCUCAAGCUGGUCCUCAGGGCUCUCCAUUGCCUUACCUCAUGAUUCCCAGCCACCUUCCUUUCCAGUAUUCUUUAGCACAGAUCUUCUGCAUCAGCCAGGCUGACAUCCUAGUCACUUGGAGCCCUUUGAGCUGAUGACACUUAUUUUCAUCCCUGCACAUCUGCUAUGCUGCACCUUUCAGAAGAAACACCCUUUCCUUGCACCUUCCCCAACUAAACCCAAUCUAUUCUUAAUGAUAAGCUGAAAUCCUGCUUUCUCUAUAGGACUUUCUCUGACAACAAAAGCCCUCAUUGGCUUCCUGUGCCCACUCUAUCACGUCUGCACUUUGCCAUUUUAUUAUAUACCUGCCACCUUGUCUUGUGGCACCAACCCCCCCCCACCAAAAAAAACUAUAAUGUCCACCAGGGAAGUACAUUUUUUUUCAGGUUAAUUGGAGGAAAACCAUACAAAUUUAUUUAACAUGUAUACAUGGAGAGAACCACAGAGUGAUUACCCUAAUUCUUUAUAUUCCAUGCUUAAAUAAUAAUAUUUGAUGAAAGAUAUUAAAAUAUCUAAACUUAAGCAAGGGCACAAAAAAAAACCCAUUUCUCUGCCUUCAAGAAAAAGCAGGAAAAGAUAAAAAAUUUAGUUUGGCCUAUCCAUCUGAUAAGGGAUUAAUAACCAUAAUAUAUAAGGAGCUCAAACAACUCAAUAGCAAACAAACAAACAAAAUCCUAAUAAUCUGAUUUUAAAAUGGGCAAAAGAUCUGAGUAGUCAUUUCUCAGAAGACAGACAGUGGCCAACAGGCAUAUGAAAAAAAAAAUGCUCAAGCAUCAUUAACUAUCAGAGAAAUGCGAAUCAAAACCACAGUGAGAUAGCGUCUCACCCCAGUUAAAACAGCUUUUAUCAAAAAGGGAAUAAUGGAUGUGGAGAAAGCGGAACAUUUAUACGCUGUUGGUAGGAAUGUAAACUAAUAUAGCCACUAUGGAAAAUAGUGUGGAGGUUCCUCAGAAAACUAAAAACAGGACUGCCAUACGAUUCAGCAGUUUCAAUACUGGGCAUGUAUCCAAAAGAAAUAAAAUCAAUAUGUUGAAGAGCUGUCUGCACUCUCAUGUUUACUGCAGCACUAUUCACAAUAGCCAAAAUAUGGAAUCAACCUAAAUGCCCACAAACCAGAUUAAUGGAUAAAGAAAAUGUGGCAUAUAUACGCAAUGAAACAUUAUUCACCCAUAAAGAAGAAUGAAAUCCUGUCAUUUGUAGCAAUGUGAAUGGAACUGGAGGUCAUUAUGUUAAGUGAAAUAAGCCAGGCAUAGAAAGACAGACAUCAAAUGUUCUCAUUUUUAUGUGACAGCUAAAAAAGUGGAUCUCAUGAAGGCAGAGAGUAGAUGGGUAGUUACUAGAGGUCAAGAAAGGGCGGAGGAAAGAAGAAAGGUUGAUUAAUAGGUAAAAAUAUACAGUUUGAUAGAAGAAAUAAGACCUAGUGCUUGAAAGAUCAGUAACAUGACUAUAGUUAACAAUAAUCUAUUGUAUAUUUCAAAGUCACCAGAAGAAAAUAAUUUGAAUAUUCCUAGCAGAAUGAAAAGACAAAUAUUUAAGGCAAUGGAUCACCCAAUCACACUGAUUUGAUUUUUAUACAUUAUAUGAAUGUGUUAAAAUGUCCCAUGUACCCCCAAAAUAUGUACAUCUGUUAUGUAUGAAUAACAAAAGAAGCGCAGGAAGCAAAACUACCCUGAAUAAUCCUCCUUUAAACAAUGUGGAAAUGAUAAAUAAACGGGAAUCUUACUAAAAAAAAACCCAACUUAAUUUGGGGGUAGGAUAUGAAAUGUGAAAAGUGGGAGGUAUAAUUUCUAAGAAAUACCAAGUGGGACUGCUGGGUACUUCUCAACUGAGCCAUGACCCCUGUGACAAGCUGUUUAUUGGACACAAUGUAAAACCUGACAUGGUGAAGUGAUUAUCACAAGCUGAAAUGCUGGGAACGGAGAGGGGGAAUAAUCAGCCCACAGGUUUUUUUGCACGUAACCCUGCUCAAAUCUCUUUUAUAUUUAUUAUGUCCUUUAAAGUGUAAAACAAGAUAGUCCUAGCAGAAUAUGUGGUGCAUAACAGACACUCAAUAAAUAUUUGUUUGGUGAGUAUGUAAGAACUGAGCCCUUUCAGAAAAGCAGUAGUUAAUGAAGUUUAGGAAUUCCGUAGUGAAGUGUUUGUGAAUGCAGGCAACCUGGGGCCAGGGACCACCAGGGAACCUUAGAAUUACCGCAAGAGGUCUGUGAUUCCUUGUGUGCAUCAAACAUUGUCCAAAAAUGGAAAAAAUAACAUGUCUUCUAUCUACCUUUUGUGAUCUUGUAUUUUCAGAAUUAAUGAAUACUAAAAGAAUGUUGUAGUGUAUAGAGUUCUUGAAAAUUUUUAAAGUUAAAAGGAUCUCCUUGGGAAAGAUUGUCAUGGGUUUUGGAAUAAAUACUGUACAAAAAAUUUACCAUCUUGACUCAUCUGUUUAGGGUAGCGUGAAUAAAGGAAUACUAGCUAUCCUC
Molecule: long non-coding RNA, 4679 nt
Organism: Pan troglodytes (chimpanzee)
Lineage: Eukaryota; Metazoa; Chordata; Mammalia; Primates; Hominidae
Exons: 3
Source: RefSeq, a predicted model, not a curated record